CCUACGGGGGGCUGCAGUGGGGAAUAUUGCACAAUGGGGGAAACCCUGAUGCAGCGACGCCGCGUGAGUGAAGAAGUAAUUCGUUAUGUAAAGCUCUAUCAGCAGGGAAGAAAAUGACGGUACCUGAGUAAGAAGCCCCGGCUAACUACGUGCCAGCAGCCGCGGUAAUACGUAGGGGGCAAGCGUUAUCCGGAUUUACUGGGUGAAAAGGGAGCGUAGACGGCAGUGCAAGUCUGGAGUGAAAGGCGGGGGCUCAACCCCCGGACUGCUCUGGAAACUGUACGGCUGGAUUGCAGGAGAGGUAAGUGGAAUUCCUAGUGUAGCGGUGAAAUGCGUAGAUAUUAGGAGGAACACCAGUGGCGAAGGCGGCUUACUGGACUGUAACUGACGUUGAGGCUCGAAAGCGUGGGGAGCAAACAGGAUUAGAUACCCCGGUAGUC
RNAcentral lists this ribosomal RNA (440 nucleotides) under uncultured bacterium. RNAcentral's name for it is "partial 16S ribosomal RNA". It matches the Rfam family "Bacterial small subunit ribosomal RNA", at positions 338 to 795 of the family's 1533-position model. The record is from RNAcentral.